Molecule: ribosomal RNA, 494 nt
Filed under: uncultured bacterium
Lineage: Bacteria
Description: bacterial SSU rRNA
Rfam family: Bacterial small subunit ribosomal RNA
Source: RNAcentral
CGGAUGAACGCUAGCGACAGGCUUAACACAUGCAAGUCGAGGGGUAACAGGGUAGCAAUACCGCUGACGACCGGCGCACGGGUGAGUAACGCGUAUGCAACCUGCCUAUAACUGGGGAAUAGCUCCCUGAAAGGGGAAUUAACACCGCAUAAUACUAUUGAUUCGCAUGGAUUAGUAGUUAAAUGUAGCGAUACAGGUUAUAGAUGGGCAUGCGUGACAUUAGCUAGUUGGUGAGGUAACGGCUCACCAAGGCUACGAUGUCUAGGGGUUCUGAGAGGAAGGUCCCCCACACUGGUACUGAGACACGGACCAGACUCCUACGGGAGGCAGCAGUGAGGAAUAUUGGUCAAUGGGCGCAAGCCUGAACCAGCGACGCCGCGUGGGUGAUGAAGGCCUUCGGGUUGUAAAACCCUUUCGUGCGGAAAGAAUAGUCCUGUAGCGAAUAACUACGGGAUUUGACGGUACCGCAGGAAGAAGCACCGGCUAACUCCGUG